GAUGAACGCUGGCGGCGUGCCUAAUACAUGCAAGUCGAGCGAACUUUUGGGAGCUUGCUCCCAACAGUUAGCGGCGGACGGGUGAGUAACACGUGUGUAACCUGCCUGUAAGACUGGGAUAACUUCGGGAAACCGGAGCUAAUACCGGAUAACAUUGAAUACCACAUAGCCUUCAAUUAAAAGAUGGCUUUUAGCUACCACUUACAGAUGGACCCGCGGCGCAUUAGCUAGUUGGUGAGGUAACGGCUCACCAAGGCGACGAUGCGUAGCCGACCUGAGAGGGGGGUCGGCCACACUGGGACCGAGACACGGGCCAGACUCCUAAGGGAGGCAGCAGUAGGGAAUCCUCCGCAAUGGACGAAAGUCUGACGGAGCAACGCCGCGGGAGCGAAGAAGGCCUUCGGGUCGUAAAGCUCUGUUGUUAGGGAAGAACAAGUAUCGUUCGAAUAGGGCGGUACCUUGACGGUACCUAACCAGAAAGCCACGGCUAACUACGUG
Molecule: ribosomal RNA, 498 nt
Filed under: uncultured bacterium
Lineage: Bacteria
Description: partial 16S ribosomal RNA
Rfam family: Bacterial small subunit ribosomal RNA
Source: RNAcentral